UCAGGACGAACGCUGGCGGCGUGCCUAAUACAUGCAAGUCGAACGGUCUUUUCUAUGGAAGCUUGCUUCCACUGAGAAGAUAGUGGCGAACGGGUGAGUAACACGUGGGUAACCUGCCCAUAAGAGGGGGAUAACAUCCGGAAACGGGUGCUAAUACCGCAUAGUUUUCUUGAUUGCAUGAUUGAGAAAGGAAAGACGGCCUUUGUGCUGUCGCUUAUGGAUGGACCCGCGGCGUAUUAGUUAGUUGGUGAGGUAACGGCUCACCAAGACGAUGAUACGUAGCCGACCUGAGAGGGUGAUCGGCCACAUUGGGACUGAGACACGGCCCAAACUCCUACGGGAGGCAGCAGUAGGGAAUCUUCCGCAAUGGACGAAAGUCUGACGGAGCAACGCCGCGUGAGUGAAAGAAGGUUUUCGGAUCGUAAAACUCUGUUGUCAGAGAAGAACAAGUUGGAGAGUAACUGCUCCAGCCUUGACGGUAUCUGACCAGAAAGCCACGGCUAACUACGUGCCAGCCGCCGC
RNAcentral lists this ribosomal RNA (522 nucleotides) under uncultured bacterium. RNAcentral's name for it is "bacterial SSU rRNA". It matches the Rfam family "Bacterial small subunit ribosomal RNA", at positions 24 to 518 of the family's 1533-position model. The record is from RNAcentral.